CCGAUCUUAGUGGCGGACGGGUGAGUAACGCGUGGGUAACCUGCCUUAUACAGGGGGAUAACACUUAGAAAUAGGUGCUAAUACCGCAUAAGCGCACGGGGCUGCAUGGCCCAGUGUGAAAAACUCCGGUGGUAUAAGAUGGACCCGCGUCUGAUUAGCUUGUUGGCGGGGUAACGGCCCACCAAGGCGACGAUCAGUAGCCGGCCUGAGAGGGUGGACGGCCACAUUGGGACUGAGACACGGCCCAAACUCCUACGGAAGGCAGCAG
This 268-nucleotide ribosomal RNA is filed under the name uncultured bacterium. RNAcentral's name for it is "partial 16S ribosomal RNA". It matches the Rfam family "Bacterial small subunit ribosomal RNA", at positions 86 to 354 of the family's 1533-position model. The record is from RNAcentral.